This 253-nucleotide ribosomal RNA is filed under the name uncultured bacterium. Its description in RNAcentral is "partial 16S ribosomal RNA". It matches the Rfam family "Bacterial small subunit ribosomal RNA", at positions 524 to 776 of the family's 1533-position model. The record is from RNAcentral.
UACAGAGGUCUCAAGCGUUGUUCGGACUCAUUGGGCGUAAAGGGUGCGUAGGUGGCGCGCUAAGUCGGGUGUGAAAUUUCGGAGCUUAACUCCGAAACUGCAUUCGAUACUGGCGUGCUUGAGGACUGGAGAGGAGACUGGAAUUCAUGGUGUAGCAGUGAAAUGCGUAGAGAUCAUGAGGAAGACCAGUGGCGAAGGCGGGUCUCUGGACAGUUCCUGACACUGAGGCACGAAGGCCAGGGGAGCAAACAGG